This 433-nucleotide ribosomal RNA is filed under the name uncultured bacterium. RNAcentral describes it as "partial 16S ribosomal RNA". It matches the Rfam family "Bacterial small subunit ribosomal RNA", at positions 29 to 507 of the family's 1533-position model. The record is from RNAcentral.
AGCGAACGCUGGCGGCAGGCCUAACACAUGCAAGUCGAACGAACUCUUCGGAGUUAGUGGCGGACGGGUGAGUAACACGUGGGAACGUGCCCUUUGGUACGGAAUAACUCAGGGAAACUUGAGCUAAUACCGUAUGUGCCCUUCGGGGGAAAGAUUUAUCGCCAUUGGAGCGGCCCGCGUCUGAUUAGCUAGUUGGUGAGGUAAAGGCUCACCAAGGCUACGAUCAGUAGCUGGUCUGAGAGGAUGAUCAGCCACAUUGGGACUGAGACACGGCUCAAACUCCUACGGGAGGCAGCAGUGGGGAAUCUUGCGCAAUGGGCGAAAGCCUGACGCAGCCAUGCCGCGUGAAUGAUGAAGGUCUUAGGAUUGUAAAAUUCUUUCACCGGGGACGAUAAUGACGGUACCCGGAGAAGAAGCCCCGGCUAACUUCGUG